Astyanax mexicanus (Mexican tetra) is the source of this 1155-nucleotide long non-coding RNA. RefSeq lists it as uncharacterized. The transcript is spliced from 5 exons. Lineage: Eukaryota; Metazoa; Chordata; Actinopteri; Characiformes; Acestrorhamphidae. The record is from RefSeq and is a predicted model, not a curated record.
UUUUACUGGUUGUGGAGAGAGAGAUCAUUUUUCUAGAUUCUGUACUCCCUGGUGGUUUUGGAGAUGACUCGUACAAAACGAUAUUUAGGUUAAGAGAGAGGAAAAAGUUGCCCUUGUUCAGUGGCUUUUACCAAUAAUAUUUUACGCAAGAGCCAUGUUCUGUGGCUGCUGAUUUACACAAAAGCCUUGUUCUAUGGCUGAUGAUUUACAAAAAGCCUUGUUCUAUGGCUGAAAAUUAACAAAAAGCCUUGUUCUAUGGCUGAUGAUUUACAAAAAGCCUUGUUCUAUGGCUGAAAAUUAACAAAAAGCCUUGUUCUAUGGCUGAUGAUUUACAAAAAGCCUUGUUCUAUGGCUGAAAAUUAACAAAAAGCCUUGUUCUAUGGCUAAUGAUUUACAAAAAGCCUUGUUCUAUGGCUGAUGAUUUACAAAAAGCCUUGUUCUAUGGCUGAUGAUUUACAAAAAGCCUUGUUCUAUGGCUGCUUAUUUAUAGCUUUGUUCUUUUGUUUUAUGUUUACGCAGAAGCCUUGUUCGAUGGCUGUAGGAUUAGGUCUCAUUUUAUGAAACUAGACCAUGGAGAACAAUUGUAUGACUAUAGGUUUCAGUAAGUGUGUGUCCAUAAUUAAUUUUUUUUUCCAUUUUAUGUGCAGACAUAUUGCAGGCCAGAUUGACCCAAGACCCUGGACAGAGAAGACCGGCAGAAGUUUUGAUCACUUCCCUCAACAAACUUCUGGGAACUACUGUGGCAUCCUUAUACUCAUUUAUGCCCUCUGUAUCUGCACCAAUACCCCAUUUAUCUUCACAGAGAAUGAUGUGCCAUUAAUCCGCCAGUGGUGGUGCAUCCUACUGAUGGAAAGAUUUCAGAUUGAAGGACAUGGCCAGAGGUUUGCUUUCUGGACUGACAAGGCUAGCAGGCUAUUGCAAGGGACCCUUCAGCCACUUUUUAGGGUAUCUAGGUCAAUCACUUCAGACAUUCCACCUCAUGUGCAAACCAUGGUCAACCGCACAGCCCAAGAAAAGAAGCUGGUAGACUUUGCUGUACAAGACCAUGGAGUCCGGCAACAUUUGUUGGUAUGUUUGUCACACAUUAACAAUGUUUGUUAUUUACAAUUUGCACAUUGUUUUACCAUUACAGUGUUAUAAGCAAAUAAGCAAAAG